AUAGAAAAAAGAAACAUUUUUUCCUAAACUUCAUUACACUAAAAGUGGUUUUUUAUAAUAGAAAUAAGGGAAAAAUGAGGUCUGCGUCUCGAAGGGAACGUGAUAUUUCAUCGGAACUCUCAUGGUUCAA
Molecule: non-coding RNA, 130 nt
Organism: Caenorhabditis elegans
Lineage: Eukaryota; Metazoa; Nematoda; Chromadorea; Rhabditida; Rhabditidae
Source: Ensembl